GAUGAAGAACGCAGCAAAAUGCGAUAAGUAAUGUGAAUUGCAGAAUUCAGUGAAUCAUCGAAUCUUUGAACGCACAUUGCGCCCGCCAGUAUUCUGGCGGGCAUGCCUGUUCGAGCGUCAUUUCAACCCUCAAGCUCAGCUUGGUGUUGGGACUCGCGGUAACCCGCGUUCCCCAAAUCGAUUGGCGGUCACGUCGAGCUUCCAUAGCGUAGUAAUCAUACACCUCGUUACUGGUAAUCGUCGCGGCCACGCCGUAAAACCCCAACUGCUGAAUGUUGACCUCGGAUCAGGUAGGAAUACCCGCUGAACUUAAGCAUAUCAAUAAGCGGAGGA
RNAcentral lists this unclassified non-coding RNA (333 nucleotides) under soil metagenome. RNAcentral's name for it is "partial contains 5.8S ribosomal RNA, internal transcribed spacer 2, and large subunit ribosomal RNA". The stretch from base 1 to 120 matches the Rfam family "5.8S ribosomal RNA", at positions 35 to 154 of the family's 154-position model. The record is from RNAcentral.